Molecule: ribosomal RNA, 253 nt
Filed under: uncultured bacterium
Lineage: Bacteria
Description: partial 16S ribosomal RNA
Rfam family: Bacterial small subunit ribosomal RNA
Source: RNAcentral
UACGGAGGAUGCAAGCGUUAUCCGGAAUGAUUGGGCGUAAAGCGUCCGCAGGUGGCUGUGUAAGUCUGUCGUCAAAGACCGGGGCUUAACCCUGGAAAGGCGAUGGAAACUGAAAGGCUAGAGAGAGGUAGGGGUAGAGGGAAUUCCCAGUGUAGCGGUGAAAUGCGUAGAGAUUGGGAAGAACAUCGGUGGCGAAAGCGCUCUACUGGACCUCAUCUGACACUCAGGGACGAAAGCUAGGGGAGCGAAUGGG